This 465-nucleotide ribosomal RNA is filed under the name uncultured Anaerolineaceae bacterium. Its description in RNAcentral is "bacterial SSU rRNA". It matches the Rfam family "Bacterial small subunit ribosomal RNA", at positions 902 to 1382 of the family's 1533-position model. The record is from RNAcentral. Lineage: Bacteria; Bacillati; Chloroflexota; Anaerolineae; Anaerolineales; Anaerolineaceae.
CAAAGGAAUUGACGGUCCCGCACAAGCAGCGGAGCGUGUGGUUUAAUUCGAUGCUACACGAAGAACCUUACCUGGGUUUGACAUAGAGGUAGUAGGGAAGCGAAAGCGGACGACCCUUCGGGGAGCCUCUACAGGUGUUGCAUGGCUGUCGUCAGCUCGUGUCGUGAGAUGUUCGGUUAAGUCCGCUAACGAGCGCAACCCUCGCUGUGUGUUACAAGUGUCACACGGUACUGCCGAUAUUAAGUCGGAGGAAGGUGGGGAUGACGUCAAGUCAGCAUGACCUUUAUAUCCAGGGCUACACACACGCUACAAUGGCCAGUACAAUGGGUUGCCAAGCCGCGAGGCGGAGCCAAUCCUAAAAAGCUGGCCUCAGUUCAGAUUGCAGUCUGCAACUCGACUGCAUGAAGUUGGAGUUGCUAGUAACCGCAGGUCAGCAAUACUGCGGUGAAUACGUUCCCGGGGAUU